RNAcentral lists this ribosomal RNA (292 nucleotides) under uncultured bacterium. Its description in RNAcentral is "partial 16S ribosomal RNA". It matches the Rfam family "Bacterial small subunit ribosomal RNA", at positions 505 to 796 of the family's 1533-position model. The record is from RNAcentral.
GUGUCAGCAGCCGCGGUAAGACAGAGGUUGCAAACGUUGUUCGGAAUCACUGGGCAUAAAGCGCACGUAGGCGGCUAAUUAAGUUAGGUGUGAAAUCCCCCGGCUCAACCGGGGAACUGCGCCUGAUACUGAUUGGCUUGAGAACGGUAGGGGUGAGCGGAACUCCAGGUGGAGCGGUGAAAUGCGUAGAUAUCUGGAGGAACACCGGUGGCGAAAGCGGCUCACUGGACCGUAACUGACGCUGAUGUGCGAAAGCUAGGGUAGCAAACGGGAUUAGAUACCCUCGUAGUCC